Molecule: long non-coding RNA, 135 nt
Organism: Coregonus clupeaformis (lake whitefish)
Lineage: Eukaryota; Metazoa; Chordata; Actinopteri; Salmoniformes; Salmonidae
Exons: 2
Source: RefSeq, a predicted model, not a curated record
AGCAUGAUGAGAAGCCCUACUGCACUAACUGUUACAUGAAGACGUUCGGUCCCAGAGCAGGUAAGGGGAGAAUGAUGUCAUACUGUCACAGCUCAGCCUCCUCUUCCUCUUCCACCUCCUAGGAACCAGUCUAAC